CCUACGGGCGGCAGCAGUGGGGAAUAUUGCACAAUGUGGGAAACCCUGAUGCAGCGACGCCGCGUGAGUGGAGAAGUAUUUCGGUAUGUAAAGCUCUAUCAGCAGGGAAGAAAAUUACGGUACCUGCCUUCUACACCCCGGCUAACUACGUUCCAGCCGCCGCGGUAAUACGUAGGGGGCCAGCGUUAUCCGGAUUUACUGGGUGUAACGGGAGCGGAGACGGCAGAGCAAGUCUGAAGUGAAAUCCCAUGGCUUAACCAUGGAACUGCUUUGGAAACUGUGCAGCUGGAGUGCAGGAGAGGUAAGUGGAAUUCCUAGUGUAGCGGUGAAAUGCGUAGAUAUUAGGAGGAACACCAGUGGCGAAGGCGGCUUACUGGACUGUAACUGACGUUGAGGCUCGAAAGCGUGGGGAGCAAACAGGAUUAGAUACCCUUGUAGUC
Molecule: ribosomal RNA, 440 nt
Filed under: uncultured bacterium
Lineage: Bacteria
Description: partial 16S ribosomal RNA
Rfam family: Bacterial small subunit ribosomal RNA
Source: RNAcentral